UACGGAGGGGGCUAGCGUUGUUCGGAAUGACUGGGCGUAAAGCGCGCGUAGGCGGAUCAUCAAGUCGGGGGUGAAAUCCCGGGGCUCAACCCCGGAACGGCCUUCGAGACUGGUGGUCUUGAGUUCGAGAGAGGUGGGUGGAAUUCCGAGUGUAGAGGUGAAAUUCGUAGAUAUUCGGAGGAACACCAGUGGCGAAGGCGGCCCACUGGCUCGACACUGACGCUGAGGCGCGAAAGCGUGGGGAGCAAACAGG
This 253-nucleotide ribosomal RNA is filed under the name uncultured bacterium. RNAcentral describes it as "partial 16S ribosomal RNA". It matches the Rfam family "Bacterial small subunit ribosomal RNA", at positions 524 to 776 of the family's 1533-position model. The record is from RNAcentral. RNAcentral also lists the same sequence under 2 other names.